RNAcentral lists this ribosomal RNA (443 nucleotides) under uncultured bacterium. RNAcentral describes it as "partial 16S ribosomal RNA". It matches the Rfam family "Bacterial small subunit ribosomal RNA", at positions 338 to 795 of the family's 1533-position model. The record is from RNAcentral.
CCUACGGGAGGCAGCAGUGGGGAAUAUUGGGCAAUGGGCGCAAGCCUGACCCAGCAACGCCGCGUGAAGGAAGAAGGCUUUCGGGUUGUAAACUUCUUUUGUUAGGGACGAAGCAAGUGACGGUACCUGACGAAUAAGCCACGGCUAACUACGUGCCAGCAGCCGCGGUAAUACGUAGGGGGCAAGCGUUAUCCGGAUUUACUGGGUGUAAGGGGCGUGUAGGCGGGACUGCAAGUCAGAUGUGAACACCACUGGCUCAACCAGUGGCCUGCAUUUGAAACUGUAGUUCUUGAGUACUGGAGAGGCAGACGGAAUUCCUGGUGUAGCGGUGAAAUGCGUAGAGAUUAGGAGGAACACCAAUUGCGAAGGCGGUCUGCUGGACAGCAACUGACGCUGAGGCGCGAAAGCGUGGGGAGCAAACAGGAUUAGAUACCCCAGUAGUC